Musa acuminata AAA Group (dessert banana) is the source of this 575-nucleotide long non-coding RNA. RefSeq lists it as uncharacterized. Lineage: Eukaryota; Viridiplantae; Streptophyta; Magnoliopsida; Zingiberales; Musaceae. The transcript is spliced from 2 exons. The record is from RefSeq and is a predicted model, not a curated record.
UUUAUCCAUGAGGAUUUCCCUUGAUAUAUCCGAGUCUUUAUUAAUCGUUCAACCAGUAAAACGUCGAACGCUGCGACGUCAAUUGUGGCCGCUAGCGGCGGCGAAGCAGGGCAUCGCUUGCACAGAGAGGGGACAGGAAACGGUUGACUUUGGAGGGAUCGAGAAUUGCUGGUCACACACGGCGUCUCGAGGUCACAUUCAACUCAUUAGUGGCAGUCCAGUUCUUCAGAUACUCCAUGGAGGGAGCUUCACGCUAACAAACAGCAUCGUGGAAAGCAAAGGCCAACGACAAGGAGGAAUAGAUCCAAAGAGUUGCAGGACCUGAUAACUAGAUAUUAAAAUGAUUGAAAAUGAUUCGUCCAAUACAACUAUUACAACUGUGAAUGCAAAGUUAUUCCUGGCAACCAUUUCUGGAGAAAAAGGAUAAUUAGAUAUUAAAAUAGGUUUAUCUUUAGUAAACAAUGAUAAAUUAAGAAACUCUUGUCAUCAUUCUAAGAGCUUGAGAUGGAUGAGUCAGUUAAUUAGUGGUUGUAUUGUUGUUUCCUUUGAGAAUCAAUACCAUUAGUAUCUUUUAA